CCCGGCGUAGUGUAAUGGAAACACGAUACGUUGUCAGCGUAUCAUCGAGGGUUCGAUUCCCUUCGUCGGGAC
Molecule: transfer RNA, 72 nt
Filed under: Streptomyces phage Tomas
Lineage: Duplodnaviria; Heunggongvirae; Uroviricota; Caudoviricetes; Stanwilliamsviridae
Description: tRNA-Asp
Rfam family: tRNA
About the family: Transfer RNA (tRNA) molecules are approximately 80 nucleotides in length. Their secondary structure includes four short double-helical elements and three loops (D, anti-codon, and T loops). Further hydrogen bonds mediate the characteristic L-shaped molecular structure. tRNAs have two regions of fundamental functional importance: the anti-codon, which is responsible for specific mRNA codon recognition, and the 3' end, to which the tRNAs corresponding amino acid is attached (by aminoacyl-tRNA synthetases). tRNAs cope with the degeneracy of the genetic code in two manners: having more than one tRNA (with a specific anti-codon) for a particular amino acid; and 'wobble' base-pairing, i.e. permitting non-standard base-pairing at the 3rd anti-codon position.
Source: RNAcentral